UAGAUAUGUUGCCACUUAUUAAAGUUCCC
RNAcentral lists this non-coding RNA (29 nucleotides) under Mus musculus (house mouse). The record is from RNAcentral. Lineage: Eukaryota; Metazoa; Chordata; Mammalia; Rodentia; Muridae.